Molecule: long non-coding RNA, 461 nt
Filed under: Androctonus crassicauda
Lineage: Eukaryota; Metazoa; Arthropoda; Arachnida; Scorpiones; Buthidae
Source: RNAcentral
CUUGCCAUUUCAAUGACUCUGACGCAUCUUCAAACUGACACUAGCUACCCACACAACCGCUGUAAUAAGACAAUCUGUCUCCGCUCUAGGGAAUAUUCGCUCCACAAUAAUUACUUUUUAAAUGUUAUUGCUUGUAACCUUUUUUUUUUAAUCCAUCCUCAUACUAAAAGUUUUUCGUCAAGAUUCAGUUAUAAACUAAUGAGUGUAAAUUUCAUUUACAAUCAAAUUGUUUGGUGAGUCACUUCAAAUGUUCUUGUGGGUCACUCAUGACCCAUGGGUCAUAGGUUGCUGACUCCUGGUAUAAUGGGCAAAGAUUUACAUAUGAAAAAAUAUAUUGUACAAACUUAGCAACUGCAGUUUUUAGUAAAUUUAAUAUAUAAAUUUUAAAAAUGCUAAAUUUCAAAUAAAAUGUUAAUAUAGAAUUUAUUAAUUUUCAUACACUAUUAUUUUAUCAUUUCUGC